CAGCAUGUUUCCCAGGGCCAUGGCCCAUUGUGGCCAUGGGUUCUCCAACCACAUGCAGGAGCAGCCUGGAGAGACUUUGACAGCACAAGUCAGCCUAUACCCGCAACUGCCACUCACCUUGCCUAGAACA
This is a small nucleolar RNA of Mirounga angustirostris (Northern elephant seal), 130 nucleotides long. RefSeq annotates it as small nucleolar RNA SNORA44. The transcript has a single exon. Lineage: Eukaryota; Metazoa; Chordata; Mammalia; Carnivora; Phocidae. The record is from RefSeq and is a predicted model, not a curated record.